This 67-nucleotide transfer RNA is filed under the name Salmostoma bacalia (large razorbelly minnow). RNAcentral's name for it is "tRNA-Ser". Lineage: Eukaryota; Metazoa; Chordata; Actinopteri; Cypriniformes; Danionidae. The record is from RNAcentral.
AGGAAGAGUAGGAAAACAGUAAAUACUGCUAAUGUUUAUUACCAGGGUUAAACUCCAUGGCUUCCUU